GCUCCAUUUUGAAGUAGCUGAUCCGGAUCAGCUUAGAUUGUGCCAAGUUUCAAGAAAAAGAUGAAAUAUGAGUUGCAUUUUGACAAAUGAAGAGGAUGUGAAGGGCAGAAGGAGCAGAAACUACCAGCAGAGAUGCUAAGAUGAAAGGCACAGAGUGCAAGUUGGAUUGAAAAAACAAGACCUAUCCGAGUGCUGACUUCAAAAGACUCAUCUCAUACAUAAUGACACCCAUAGGCUCAAAGUAAAGGAUUGGAUAAAUAUUUAUUAUGCAAAUGGAAAACAAAACAAAAAAAAGAGCCAGAGUCACUAUUCUUAUAUCAGAUAAAAUAGACUUUAAACCAACAAAAGUAGAAAAGGACAAAGAAGGGCAUUAAAUAAUGAUAAAGAUUUCAGUUAAACAAGAAGACUUAACUAUCCUAAAUAUAUAUGCACCCAACAUUGGAGCACCCAGAUUCAUAAAACAAGUACUUCUAGACCUAUGAAAAGACCUAGACAGCCAUAAAAUAGUAGCGGAGGUUUUCGACACCCCAUUAGAAAGGUCAUUGAGGCAGAAAACUAACAAAGAAAUUCUGGACUUAAAUUGGACACAACCAGCUGGACCUAAUUGACACCUACAGAACACUCCACUGAUCAACCACUCUUCUCAUCUGCACACAGAACAUACAUCAAGAUUGAUCACUAGCUUAGCCAUAAAGCAAGUCUCAAUAAAUUCAAAAAAUCAAGAUCAUACCAACCACAAUCUUGGGCCACGGUGGAAUAAAAUAGAAAUCAAUACCAAGAAGAUCUCUGAAAACCACACAAUUACAUGGAAAUUAAAAAACUUACUCCUGAAUGACUUUUGAGCAAACAAUAAAGUUAAGGCAGAAAUUAAAAAAUUAUUUUAAAUAAAUGAAAACAAAGAUACAACAUACCAAAAUCUCUGGGAUGCAGCAAAAGCAGUGUUAAGAGGAAAGUUUAUAGCACUUAACGCCUACCUCAAAAAGUUAGAAAGAUCUCAAAUUAACCAUCUAAUAUAAUUCCUAGAAGAACUAGAAAAACAACAACAAACUAAACCUAAAACUAACAGAAUAAAAUAAGUAACUAAAAUCAGAGCAGAACUAAACCAAAUUGAGAUGCAAAAAUCCAUACACAGAAUCAACAAAACCAAUAACUGGUUAUUUGAAAAGAUAAACAAGACUGGCAGACCACUAGCUAGAGUAACAAAGAAAACGAGAGAGACAAAAGAUCCAAAUAAGCACAAUGAGAAAUGACAAAGGCAAUAUUGCAACCAAUACCACAGAAAUACAAAAGGUCCUCAGAGACUAUUAUCAACACCUCUAUGUGCACAAACUAGAAAAUCUAGAGGAAAUGGAUACAUUUCUGGAAGCACACAACCUCCCAAGAUUGAAUCAGGAAGAAAUUGAAACCCUGAACAGAACAAUAUCAAGUUCCAAACUUGAAUCAGUAAUAAAAAACCUACCAAACAAAAAAAGCCCUGGUCCAGAUGGAUGCACAGCUGAAUUCUACCAGAUGUUCAAAGAAGAGCUAGUACCAAUCCUAGCUCUUCGAUUGAUUCUUGGAAUCAUUUUUGGAAAUGAUUCCAAAAAAUCAAGCAGGAGAAACUCCUCCCUAAUUCAUCCUACAAAGCCAGAAUCACCCUAAUACCAAAACCUGGCAAAGACACAACAAAAAAAGAGAAAAUCACAGGCUAAUAUCCCUGAUGAACACAGACAGAAAAAUCCUCAACAAAAUACUAGCAAACCAAAUCCAGCAGCAACAUACACAAAUCAACAAAUGUAAUGCAUCACAUAAACAGAACUAAAGACAAAAACCAUAUGAUCAUCUCAAUAGACAUGGGAAAAGCUUUCAGUAAAAUCCAACAUCCUUUCAUGAUAAAAGCCCUCAGCAAACUAGGCCUCAAAGGAACAUAUUUCAAAAUAAUAAGAGCCAUCUAUGACAAACUGAUAGCCAACAUACCAAAUGGGGAAAAGCCAGAAGCAUUCCGCCUGAGAACCAGAACAAGACAAAGAUGCCCACUGUCACCUCUCCUAUUUAACGUAGUCUUGGAAGGGCUAGCCAGAGCAAUCAGUCAAGAGAAAUAAAAGGCAUCAAAACAGGAAAAGAAGAAAUCAAACUAUCUCUCUUCACUGAUAAUAUGAUUCUAUACCUAGAGAACCAUAAAGACUCUAUCAAAAGGCUCCUGGAAUGAUAAAUGACUUCAGUGAAGUUUCAGGAUACAAAAUCAAGACACAAAAAUUAGUAGCAUUUCUAUCUACCAAUAAUGUACAAACUGAGAGCCAAAUCAAGAAUGCAAUUCCAGGGCCAGGUGUGGUGGCUCACACCUGUAAUCUCAGCACUUUGGGAGGCUGAGGUGGCCAGAUCACUUGAGGUGAGGAGUUCGAGACCAGCCUGGCCAACAUGACGAAAAUCUGUCUCUGCUAAAAAUACAUUAGCCUGGUGUAGUGCCGGGCACCUGUAAUCCCAGCUACUCAGGAGGUUGAGGUGAGAGGAUGGCUUGAGUCCAGGAGGUGGAGGCUGCAGUGAGCUGAGAUGGUGCAACUGCACUCAAGCCUGGGCAACAGAGUAAGACUCUGUCUCAAAAAAAUAAAAAAAAAUAAGCCAGUCGCAGUGGCUCACACCUGUAAUCCCAGCCCUUUGGGAGGCCGAGGCGGGCGGAUCACCUGAGGUCAGGAGUUCGAGACUGGCCUGGUCAACAUGGUGAAACCCCAUCUCUACUAAAAAGUACAAAAAUUAGCCAGGCAUCGUGGUGGGCGCCUGUAAUCCCAGCUACUCAGGAGGCUGAGGCAGGAUAAUUGCUUGAACUUGGGAGGCAGAGGUUGCAGUGAGCCAAGAUCGCACCACUGCACUCCAGCCUGGGCAACAAGAACAUGACUCCAUCUCAAAAAAAAAAAAAAAAAAAAAGCAAUUCCAUUUAUGAUGGCCACAAAAACAAUAAAAUAUCCAGGAAUACAUCUAACCAAGGAGGUGAAAGAUCUCUACAGGGCAAACUGUAAAACUCUGCUGAAAGAAAUCAUAGAUGAGACUGGGCGUGAUGGCUCAUUCCUGUAAUCCCAGCACUUUGGGAGGCCAAGAUGGGCAGAUCACGAGGUCAAGAGAUCGAUACCAUCCUGGCCAACAUGGUGAAAUCCUGACUCUACUAAAAAUGCAAAAAUUAGCUGGGCAUGGUGGUGCACACAUGUAGUCCCAGCUAUUCAGAAGGCUAAUGCAGGAGAAUCGCUUGAACCUGGGAGGCAGAGGUUGCAGUGAGCUGAGAUUGCACCACUGCACUCCAGCCUGGUGACAGAGCGAGACUCCAUCUCAAAAAAAAAAAAAAAAAAGGAAUCAUAGAUGACACAAAGAGUAAAGCAUUUGAUGCUCAUGGAUUGGAAGAAUCAAUAUUGUUAAAAUGGUCAUACUGCCCAAAGUAAUCUAUAGACUUAAUGCUAUUCUUAUCAAACUGCCAACAUCAUUUUUUCACAGAAUUAGAAAAAAACUAUCCUAAAAUUCAUAUGGAACCUAAAGGAGCCUGAGUAGCUAAAGCAAUCCUAAGCAAAAAGAACAAAGCUAGAUAUAUCAUACUAUCCAACUUCAAACAAUACUAUAAGUCUACAGUAGGCUGGGCUCGGUGGCUCAUGCCUGUAAUCCCAGCACUUUGGGAGGCUGACUUGGGCGGAUCACGAGGUCAAGAGAUCUAGACCAUCUGGCCAACAUGGUGAAACUCCGUCUCUACCAAAAAUAUAAAAAAUCAGCCAGGUGUGGUGGCACGCACCUGUAGUCCCAGUUACUCAGGAGGCUGAGGCAGGAGAAUCCUCAGCUUCAGGAGGCUGAGGCAGGAGGCGGAGGUUGCAGUGAACCAAGAUUGCACCACUGCACUCCAGCCUGGGCCACAGAGUAAGAUUUCAUCUCAAAAGAAAAAAAAAAGACUACAGUAAACAAAACAGCAUGGUACUGGUACAAAAAUAGACACACAGACCAAUGGAACAGAGUAGAGAACCCAGAAAUGAAGCAGCAUACCACAUACUUACAGUCAUCUGAUCUUCCACAAAGUUGACAAAAAUAAGCAAUAGGAAAAGGACUCCCUAUUCGAAAAAUAGUGCUGGGAUAGCUGGCUAACCAUAUGCAGAAGAAUGAAACUAGACUCCUAUCUUUCACCAAAAGUUAACUCAAGAUGGUUUAAGGAUUUAAAAGACCUCAUACUAUAAGAAUCCUGGAAGAAAACCCAGGACUCACCAUUCUGGACAAUGACCUUUGGAAAGAAUUUAUGACCAAGUCCUCAAAAGCAAUUGCAGCAAAAAUGAAAGUUGAUAAGUGAGAUCUAAUUAAACUAAAGAGCUUCUGCACAGCAAAAGAAACUAUCAACAGAGUGAACAAUCUACAGAAUGGGAGAAAAUAUUUGCAAACUCUGCCUCUGGCAAAGGUCUAAUAUCCAGGAUCUACCAUAAAAUUAAAUAAUUUAACAAACAAAAACCAAAUAAUCUCAUUAAAAAGUGGGCAAAAGACAUGAAUAGACACUUCUCAAAAGAAGAGAUACAAACAGCCAACAAACAUAUGAAAAAAUGCUCAAUAUCAGUGAUUGUUAGGGAAAUGCAAAUCAAAACCAGAACACCAACCAGAAUGGCUAUUAUUAAAAAGUCAAAAACCCCAGCUAUGGCAACAUGGUGAGGCCUUCAUCUCUAUACAAAAAAACUUUUGUUUUUUUUUGAGAUGGAGUUUCGCUCUUGUUGCCCAGGCUGGAGUGCAGUGGCAUGAUCUAGGCUCACCACAACCUCCGCCUCCCGGGUUCAAGCGAUUCUCCUGAAUCAGCCUCCCAAGUAGCUGGGAUUACAGGCACACACCACCAUGCCCAGCUAAUUUUGUAUUUUUAGUAGAGAUGGGCUUUCUCCAGGUUGGUCAGGCUGGUCUCGAACUCCCAAACUCAGGUGAUCUGCCCGCCUCGGCCUCCCAAAGUGCUGGGAUUACAGGCAUGAGCCACCUCGCCCAGCCUACAAAAAAUUUUAAAAAAUUAGCCAGGCGCUGUGGUGUGUACCUGUGGUUCCAGCUACUCGGGAGGCCGAGGUAGGAUAAUUACUUGAGUACAGGAGGUCAAGGCUACAGUGAGCAAUGUUCACGACAUUACACUGCAGCCUGGGUGACAAAGUGAGACCCUGUUUAAAAAAAAAAAAACAACUCAAAAAACAACAGAUGUUGGCAAGGCUGUGGAGAAAAAGGAACAUUUCUACACUGUUGGUGGGAAUGUAAAUUAGUUCAGCUACCGUGGAAAGCAGUUUGGAGACUUCUCAAUGAAUUUUAAAAAGAACUACCAUGGUCAGGCGCGGUGACUCACGCCUGUAAUCCCAGCACUUUGGGAGGCUGAGGCGGGUGGAUCACCUGAGGUCAGCAGUUCGAGACCAGCCUGACCAACAUGGUGAAACCCCAUCUCUACUAAAAAAUACAAAAAUUAGCCGGGCAUGGUGGCGGGUGCCUGUAAUCCCAGCUACUCGGGAGGCUGAGGCAUGAGAAUCGCUUCAACCUGGGAGGCGGAGGUUGCAGUGAGCCGAGAUCAUGCCGUUGCACUCCAGACUGGGCGACAGAGCAAGACUUCAUCUCAAAACAAACAAACAACAAAAAAAACUACCAUUUCACCCAGGAAAAAUCCCAUUACUGGCCAUCUAUCCAAAAGAAAACAAAUCAUUCUACCAAAAAGACACAUGUACUCUCACGUUCAUCACAGCGCUAUUCACAAUAGCAAAGACAUGGAAUCAACUUAGGUGCCCAUCCAUGGUAGGCUGGACAAAGAAAGUGUGGUAUGUAUAUACCAUAGAAUACUACACAGCCAUAAUGAAAGAAUGAAAUCAUGUCCUUUGCAGCAACACGGAUGCAGCUGGAUUAUUCUAAGCAAAUUAAUGCAAGAACAGAAAACCAAAUACCAUACCACAUGUUCUCACUUAAAAGUGGGAGCUAGGCUGGGCACGGUGGCUCACGCCUGUAAUCCCAGCACUUUGGGAGGCCAAGGCAGGUGGAUCACUUGAGGUCAGGAGUUUGAGACCAGCCUGACCAAUAUGGUGAAACCCCAUCUCUACUAAAAAUACAAAAAUUAGCUAGGCAGCCGGGCAUGGUAUUUCACACCUGUAAUCCCAGCACUUUGGGAGGCCGAGGCGGGAGGAUCACGAAGUCAGGAGAUCGAGGCCAUCCUGGCUAACACGGUGAAACCCUGUCUCUACUAAAAAUACAAAAAAUUAGCUGGGCAUGGUGGCAGGUGCCUGUAGUCCCAGCUACUCGGGAGGCUGAGGCAGGAGAAUGGCGUGAACCCGGGAGGCGGAGCUUGCAGUGAGCCGAGAUCGCACCACUGCACUCCAGCCUGGGCAACAGAACGAGACUCCGUCUCAAAAAAAAAAAAAAAAAAAAAAAUUAGCUAGGCAUGGUGGCCCUCGCCUGUAAUCUCAGUUUACUCAGGAGGAUAUGACAGGAGAAUUGUUUGAAUCCAGGAGGCGGAGGUUGCAGUGAGCGGAGAUCAGGCCACUGUACUCCAGCCUGGGCGACAGAGCAAGACUCCAAUGUCAAAAAAUAAACAAAUAAGUAAGUGGGAGCUAAACCCUGGUUACCCAUGGAUGACAAGAUGGCAACAGUAGACAGUGGGGACUAUUACAGAAGGGAGGUAGGGAGCAGAGCAAGAGUUGAAAAACUAACUAUACGAUACUAGGCUCACUACCCAGGUGACAGGAUGAACAUACCCCCAAUCUCAGCAUCACGCAGUAUACCCGUGUAACCAACCUGCACAUGUACCCCCACAUUUAAAAUAAAAGUUGAAAUUAUUUUUUUAAAAAAUACUUAUUAAAUAUCUAUUAAAUUGUUGUUGUUGUUGUUUUGAGAGGGAGUCCAGGCUGGAGUGCAAUGGCGCCAUCUCGGCUCACUGCAACCUCCGCCUCCUGGGUUUAAGCGAUUCUCCUGCCUCAGCCUCCCAAGUAGGUGGGAUUACAGGCACCUGGCACCACGCCUGGCUAAUUUUUUUUUUUAUUUUUAGUAGAGACUGGGUUUAACCAUGUUGGUAGGGCUGGUCUUGACCUCCUGACCUCAGGUGAUCAGCCUGCCUCAGCCUCCCAAAGUGCUGGGAUUACAGGUGUGAGCCACCGAGCCCAGCCAAAAUUAACUGUUAAUGUAAUAUUAAACUAUUAUUUGUAAUGCAGAAGGGCUUAUCUAAAGUAAAGCAGCUCAGUUAUGUAGUAAAAUCUCAGAAGUCUAAAAUGCCUUGCUUAUCUUUUUAAGAUAAAUAAUUGUAAGACAGCUCAAGUAAGCAGCCUAAUAUCCACGUGUAUAGGAGUAUGUGUGUGCAUGUGUGUGUAUGUGUGUGCAUGUGAGUGUGUGUGUAAGCUCAUGGGUUUUUUUCUUUUCCUUUUUCAGAGUAAAUAUGCUUUGAAAAUUUGACAUCCAUGAUUAAAUGUAAUAUAUUGCUUUGCUUCACAUUUCAUAAUAGCAUGCUAUUUGAUCUGAUUUAUUCUUAUUGUCUAGUUCCAGAAAGUUUUUUCCCUCUGGUUCCAUCAGUUAAGUCACACUUGAAGAACAAAUUAUAUUGUGAGAAACACAUGACUGGUCUUUUCUGUUUCUCUCCUGUCCUCCUUUUGUCAUGGCCACAGCUCAGAAUAAAAGAGUUCCACAAAAUGUGUACCACAGUGGCCAGGCUGGCAUGGCAAGGCCAGAGGUGCUGGGACACCCUGACCAACAUGGUCAAACUCCGUCUCUACUAAAAACACAAAAAUUAGCCGGACGUGGUGGCACACGCCUGUAAUCCCAGCUACUCGGGAGGCUAGGGCAGGAGAAUUGUUUGAGCCUGGGAGACGGAGGUUGCUGUGAGCCGAGAUUGUGCCACUGACUGCACUCCAGCCUGGCUGACAGAGUGAGACUCUGUCUCAAAAAAAAAAAAAGAAAAAGAAAAAGAAGAGAAAGGGCAGGGAAACACCCAGCAGCUGGCCUCACUUUCUCAGCAAAUAAGUAAUUCAGGAUGGAAAGGAGUUUUUAAGGUGAGAUUCUUUCAAGUGUGACAAAGCUCUUUAGAGCAUGAGAAUCCUAAACUGUGUAGUUGUGCCACUGCUCUGCCAUUGGAAUGGCCAGCACCAGAUAUGGGCUGUUCCUACCGCCUGGGUUCCAGAGUGAAAAAUACCGUGGACCACAGUGGCAUCUGACGCAUAGCCAGCAUGGAAUAUGGGCAAAUGAAUGAUAAAUGAUCAACUUCCGUUUAAGUGAGACACUGAGAUUUGGGGGCGGUGUAUUAUUGUAGCAUAACCCAGCAAAAGCUGGCAUGGAAACAGGAAACCUGGAGCUAAUGCCAAGAAGAGGUUGUGUGGUGAAAGUAUCUUGGUCUCUUCAGAAUUAACAAGGAUUUAAGGAUGUCUGUUCAUAGACAUGGCUGUUGCCAUCCUGUCCCCCUCCCCUCUCCUAAGGACAUGUUUCUAUACAAGCCAGCAGCAUCUUUUAAACCUCAUAGUUUGUACCCUUUUACACUAUGUUGUGUGAGUCAAUGUAAUUCCCACUCUGGCCCCUGCCCACCUGCUUGAUGCUGGAGCCCUCUUUGUUUUCGUAAAGCUGGGCGGCUUCCAGACCCAAAUCCAGCCUUUACAGCCACUGCCUCUUCCCUACGUAGGGUUCCGUUUAGGAUCCUGGUAGGUGGACAAGUAGUGAACAAGACAGAUGACAGAUGCUCCAGGUUCACAUCCAAGUUUUGGGGGGUUGAGAGCUUUUCCAUUUGGAUGUCCUUCUUUAAGAACAAGAAGGUAAAAUUGUGAAUACGGAAUGAGAUAUGGGGUCUUGGUGGGGCCCAUGCCAGCAAGGGGCCUGAAGCUCCUCAUUAGCUUCCGAUGUGGGGGUGGGGGAGUAGAAGUGGGCAGUACAGGAGGAAGUGACAAGAAUUCUCAGGGGUGGGGAGAACUGUGUCGAAAAUAAACAAGGAAGUGCAACAGGAAAUGACUGGGUGGCUUCUUCAGGCUGGGUAGGACGCUGCUGAAUUUAUCUGAUAAAAAUCUCCUCUCUGUGAGUUGUGGAAAGUGGCUUGCUGCGAGAGACCCCCUUCUUCCCCACAUAACAUAGGUAAGAGUGAUAGAAGUGAUGCAGCUGGGCGCUGUCUCCAAAAAAAAAAAAAAAAAAAGGAAAAGUGACGGAUGCUCCCCUCACUCCACCCCCUACCCAUUACCUAGGACAAAGCCAGACACAGAUCCUCCAAUUCCCAUUCUUCACCUCAUCAAUGAUGAGCCAGUCAAUAGAAAUAACACACUUGUUAAGCAAACUUGGUGAGGCUCCUCUCUUCCCCCGAGGCUGAGGACUUUUGGCCUCAUCUUAGCCUGAGUCAGUCCCCCCUGAGAACAGGCUGGCCACGGGGUCAACCUUCUCUGAUCUAAUGUCCUAUGAAGGCAGGUUCUCAUCCCACUUCUCCAUUCCCAGUUCAUUCUUUCUCUCUCUUUCUUUUUCUCUCUUUCUUCUUUCUUUCAUUCAUUCUUUUUGUUGUUGUUGUUGACCGAGUCUCACUCUGUCGCCCAGGCUGGAGUGCAGUGGCGCGAUCUCGGCUCACUGCAACCUCUGCCUCCUGGGUUCAAGCGAUUCUCCUGCCUCAGCCUCCAGAGUAGCUGGGAUUGAGGGAAGAGAGAGACCCUCUCAUAUUGUUUUAUAUUGUUUUAUACUCAGUACCUGUUUUAAGAAAAAAACAAGGAAGUGAAAUCAAAGACAGGCAGCCCGGCGCCAGGCCCAAAACCGGACCUGGGCCUGCCUGGCCUAAACCUAGUAGUUAAAAAUCAACUCAUGACUUAGAGACCGAUGUUAUUCAUAGAUUCCAGACAUUGUAUAGAAGAACAUUGUGAAACUCCCUGCCCUGUUCUGUUUCUCUCUGACCACCAGUGCAUGCAGCCCGUCACGUACCCCUUGCUUGCUCAAAUCAAUCACGACCCUUUCAUGUGAAAUCUUUAAUGUUGUGAGCCCUUAAAAGGGACAGAAAUUGUGCAUUCGGGGAGCUCGGAUUUUAAGGCAGUAGCUUGCCGAUGCUCCCAGCUGAAUAAAGCCCUUCCUUCUAUAGCUCGGUGUCUGAGAGGUUUUGUCUGCCGCUCCUCCUGCCACAGGAUUACAGUCGCGUGCCACCCCCGCCCAGCAAAUUUUUGUAUUUUUAGUAGGGACAAAAGGCCCCCAGGCCCCUGCAAUAAUGGUCCUCAUAACACCACUCCUCCCCGAGUCCAGAUUUGCUUUAUAUUUGGCAGUGGUCACAACAGCCCUCCUUGACAAGGGGCUGUUUAAACACACCGGACUGUGAUUUAAAGGAAAAUGAGGAUUCUGGGAAGCACUUUUGUUUUAAGAAAAUUAUUUUUUUAGCUUAAAAGAAAAGAGAAAAAGAACUGUGGCGUGUGCCUAUAUUCUUGAGAGGAAGGAAUGAAAGGAGCCGGAAAGAAACAAAUAAGUCGUUAGGGAAAAGGAGAACGAGAAUAACACCAUGACCUGUAGGAGGUCCUGGAGGAGCUAAGGAGGUGUCAGCCAUUUUCCCCCCCCAUCUGUUCCACAGGUGGCAUUUUAUUGAGCACCGACUGUCCCCCAUCCACUGUGCUCAGUGGCAGGGACUCAAGGUGGGCAAAAUAGACAUGGGCCUUGCCUUGCAGUCUAGUGGGAAAAACAGAUUAAUCAUUUAAAUAUUUUGUUUCAAAGAAUGGUAAUGCAUGCAGGCAAGGUCCAGGCCUGUGGGAGAGCAGGCUACAGGCCCACCUGCUAUUUAGACAGUUACCAGUGGCAGAGGACCCCGAGGAAGGCGCAGUUUACUCGACGUGUAAAUAGGAAUAGCCUUAACUAGCUGUGGGUGUGCGGACAGGGAAGGGAAAGAGGAGAAACAUCUGCAGAGACAAUGCCGGGUGCACAGCCCGUGGGCGGGGCCGCGGGUGCAGGGGAACCCGUGCCUCUGAAGGGCUGGGAAGGCCAGGGUGUUGGGGGAGGAGACCG
RNAcentral lists this long non-coding RNA (10917 nucleotides) under Homo sapiens (human). RNAcentral's name for it is "HSALNT0338457". The record is from RNAcentral. Lineage: Eukaryota; Metazoa; Chordata; Mammalia; Primates; Hominidae.